Molecule: ribosomal RNA, 439 nt
Filed under: uncultured bacterium
Lineage: Bacteria
Description: bacterial SSU rRNA
Rfam family: Bacterial small subunit ribosomal RNA
Source: RNAcentral
UCCUACGGGGGGCAGCAGUGGGGAAUCUUGCGCAAUGGGCGAAAGCCUGACGCAGCCAUGCCGCGUGAAUGAUGAAGGUCUUAGGAUUGUAAAAUUCUUUCACCGGGGACGAUAAUGACGGUACCCGGAGAAGAAGCCCCGGCUAACUUCGUGCCAGCAGCCGCGGUAAUACGAAGGGGGCUAGCGUUGCUCGGAAUUACUGGGCGUAAAGGGCGCGUAGGCGGACAUUUAAGUCAGGGGUGAAAUCCCAGAGCUCAACUCUGGAACUGCCUUUGAUACUGGGUGUCUUGAGUGUGAGAGAGGUAUGUGGAACUCCGAGUGUAGAGGUGAAAUUCGUAGAUAUUCGGAAGAACACCAGUGGCGAAGGCGACAUACUGGCUCAUUACUGACGCUGAGGCGCGAAAGCGUGGGGAGCAAACAGGAUUAGAUACCCGGGUAC